GCUUCUGUUUAUACUUCACUUUACAAACCCCUAUUUUUCUAUCUAUCUACCAGUACUUAAAAAAAAAAAGAAUAGUGUAUGUGUGUGAAGAAAAUCUGCAGCUAUCCCUUAAGCAUGCUCAAGCAUGCUCAGCCAUCUAUUGACAUUUUUUUUUUUGACUCCAGCUCCAGCAGCAUAUCUGCAAAAUUUUCACACCCGAACACCUUCAUUUGGUUUCAGUUUUCAACAAGCAAAUCUCAUUUUUUCAAAAGUACAGAUUUCCAGCCGCAGCAGCCGAUUUUCACUCACAAAAAUUCCACAUUCAUAGAUUUCAUUGUCGCAGAGACCCAUCUAUAAAUUCAUCCAAACACUUCAGCUCUAAAACAAGCAAAUUCUUAAACGCAGAGUUUUCUUUUGACAAGAUUCAGUGAAGGUAUUACACGCAACUUUCUUCCUUUUCAUACAUAGCAUUAUCCAGAAAUUCAACAUGAAUGAGAUCACAUAUGAUUUUGUUUACAGUUUACAGAAUUUGUAUACGCAUCAAAGCUUUCGCAAUAAAUCAGAAUUAGAAUUUGUAUCUCACUAGGAAUACAGAAAACCAAGUUUCAUUUCAAAAUCAAGUCUUUACAGUUGAGUUUUCCGAAAAUUAUUCAAAUUUACGAACCUAUCGUGAGUGAUAAAACGAGAGAGAAAGGAUGGUGGAUUGUCGGAGCUCUGCGACUCAC
RNAcentral lists this long non-coding RNA (704 nucleotides) under Salvia miltiorrhiza (redroot sage). Its description in RNAcentral is "long non-coding RNA (SMIL_LNC005949)". Lineage: Eukaryota; Viridiplantae; Streptophyta; Magnoliopsida; Lamiales; Lamiaceae. The record is from RNAcentral.